Molecule: ribosomal RNA, 494 nt
Filed under: uncultured bacterium
Lineage: Bacteria
Description: bacterial SSU rRNA
Rfam family: Bacterial small subunit ribosomal RNA
Source: RNAcentral
AAAUGAAUUGACGGGCACCCGCACAAGCGGUGGAGCAUGCUGUUUAAUUCGAAGAUACGCGAAGAACCUUACCUAGACUUGACAUGCCGAUGACCGGUUUAGAAAUAAGCCUUUCCCUUCGGGGACAUUGGACACAGGUGGUGCAUGGUUGUCGUCAGCUCGUGUCGUGAGAUGUUUGGUUAAGUCCAAUAACGAGCGCAACCCCUAUUCUUAGUUGCUAACAUUAAGUUGAGGACUCUAGGGACACUGUCGGUAAUAAAUCGAAGGAAGGUGGGGAUGAUGUCAAAUCAUCAUGCCCCUUACGUCUAGGGCAACAGGCGUGCUACAAUGGCCGAUAUAAAAAGAAGCAAAAUCGUGAGAUAGAGCAAAUCUCAAAAGUCGGUCUCAGUUCGGAUUGGAGUCUGCAACUCGACUCCAUGAAGUCGGAAUCGCUAGUAAUCCCGAAUCAGAAUGUCGGGGUGAAUACGUUCUCGGGUGUUGUACACACCGCCCGU